RNAcentral lists this ribosomal RNA (253 nucleotides) under uncultured bacterium. RNAcentral describes it as "partial 16S ribosomal RNA". It matches the Rfam family "Bacterial small subunit ribosomal RNA", at positions 524 to 776 of the family's 1533-position model. The record is from RNAcentral.
UACGUAGGUGGCAAGCGUUGUCCGGAAUUAUUGGGCGUAAAGAGCUCGUAGGCGGUUUGUCGCGUCGGCUGUGAAAUCGUGGGGCUCAACCCCGAGCCUGCUUCCGAUACGGGCAGACUAGAGGUAUGCAGGGGAGAAUGGAAUUCCUGGUGUAGCGGUGAAAUGCGCAGAUAUCAGGAGGAACACCGGUGGCGAAGGCGGUUCUCUGGGCAUGUCCUGACGCUGAGGAGCGAAAGUGUGGGGAGCGAACAGG